UAAUACGUAUGGGGCAAGCGUUGUUCGGAUUCACUGGGCGUAAAGGGCGUGUAGGCGGUGUGGUAAGUCGGAUGUGAAAUCUCCAGGCUCAACCUGGAAACUGCACUCGAAACUGCCAUGCUUGAGUACCGGAGAGGGAAACGGAAUUCCUGGUGUAGGGGUGAAAUCUGUAGAUAUCAGGAAGAACACCGGUGGCGAAGGCGGUUUCCUGGCCGGAUACUGACGCUGAGGCGCGAAAGCUAGGGGAGCAAACAGGAUUAGAUACCCUGGUAGUCCUAGCUGUAAACGUUGUGCACUAGGUGUAAGUGGUUUCAACCCACUUGUGCCGUAGCUAACGCAUUAAGUGCACCGCCUGGGGAGUAUGCUCGCAAGGGUG
This 376-nucleotide ribosomal RNA is filed under the name uncultured bacterium. RNAcentral describes it as "bacterial SSU rRNA". It matches the Rfam family "Bacterial small subunit ribosomal RNA", at positions 521 to 896 of the family's 1533-position model. The record is from RNAcentral.